GCGCGGUUAGCUCAGCGGUAGAGCAACUCGUUUACACCGAGUGGGCCGGGGGUUCGAUCCCCUCACCGCGCACCA
RNAcentral lists this transfer RNA (75 nucleotides) under Alphaproteobacteria bacterium. RNAcentral describes it as "tRNA-Val". It matches the Rfam family "tRNA". From Rfam's summary of the family: Transfer RNA (tRNA) molecules are approximately 80 nucleotides in length. Their secondary structure includes four short double-helical elements and three loops (D, anti-codon, and T loops). The record is from RNAcentral. Lineage: Bacteria; Pseudomonadati; Pseudomonadota; Alphaproteobacteria.